GACGAACGCUGGCGGCGCGCCUAACACAUGCAAGUCGAACGAGAGAUGAAGAGCUUGCUCUUCAGAUCGAGUGGCGAACGGGUGAGUAACGCGUGAGGAACCUGCCUCAAAGAGGGGGACAACAGUUGGAAACGACUGCUAAUACCGCAUAAGCCCACAGCUCGGCAUCGAGCAGAGGGAAAAGGAGCAAUCCGCUUUGAGAUGGCCUCGCGUCCGAUUAGCUAGUUGGUGAGGUAACGGCCCACCAAGGCGACGAUCGGUAGCCGGACUGAGAGGUUGAACGGCCACAUUGGGACUGAGACACGGCCCAGACUCCUACGGGAGGCAGCAGUGGGGAAUAUUGCACAAUGGGGGAAACCCUGAUGCAGCGACGCCGCGUGGAGGAAGAAGGUCUUCGGAUUGUAAACUCCUGUUGUUGAGGAAGAUAAUGACGGUACUCAACAAGGAAGUGACGGCUAACUACGUGCCAGCAGCCGCGGU
This 480-nucleotide ribosomal RNA is filed under the name uncultured bacterium. Its description in RNAcentral is "bacterial SSU rRNA". It matches the Rfam family "Bacterial small subunit ribosomal RNA", at positions 28 to 521 of the family's 1533-position model. The record is from RNAcentral.